This 109-nucleotide small nuclear RNA is filed under the name Chinchilla lanigera (long-tailed chinchilla). Lineage: Eukaryota; Metazoa; Chordata; Mammalia; Rodentia; Chinchillidae. The record is from RNAcentral.
GUGCUCGCUUCGGCAGCACAUACACUAAAAUUGGAACAAUACAGAAAAGAUUAGCAUGGCCCCUGCACAAAGGAUGACAAAUUCAUUCCUGGAAACAAGCAUUACCCUG